RNAcentral lists this long non-coding RNA (156 nucleotides) under Chinchilla lanigera (long-tailed chinchilla). RNAcentral describes it as "lncRNA (ENSCLAG00000024364.1)". Lineage: Eukaryota; Metazoa; Chordata; Mammalia; Rodentia; Chinchillidae. The record is from RNAcentral.
AUGAGAUCUUCUUUUACUUCCAAGGAAAUCAGGAACAGGCCAUUGCACUGCACGUUACAAUGGCCACUAGGAAAUGUCAAUCACAUUCCUCACCAUGGAAUACGUGGCACAGGAUGUCUGAUGAGCAGACUAUUUUCUAGAUCAUUCUCUAGUUGA